Molecule: unclassified non-coding RNA, 270 nt
Filed under: uncultured fungus
Lineage: Eukaryota; Fungi
Description: partial contains 5.8S ribosomal RNA, internal transcribed spacer 2, and large subunit ribosomal RNA
Source: RNAcentral
AACGCACAUUGCGCCCUUUGGUAUUCCGAAGGGCAUGCCUGUUCGAGCGUCCUUAUCACCCCUCAAGCCCCGUGCUUGGUAUUGGACGGCCUGGUCGAGGUAACUCGACCCCUCCUAAAGACAAUGACGGCGGCCUGUGGUUCCCCCGGUACACUGAGCUUUUAACUGAGCACGUAUCGGAUAAGGGCGCCCAGGACCCGGUCCUCUCCUUUCACAAGGAAACUUUUCAAGGUUGACCUCGGAUCAGGUAGGAAUACGCGCUGAACUUAA